Molecule: long non-coding RNA, 209 nt
Filed under: Hordeum vulgare
Lineage: Eukaryota; Viridiplantae; Streptophyta; Magnoliopsida; Poales; Poaceae
Description: long non-coding RNA (HVUL_LNC020956)
Source: RNAcentral
CAACAACAACAACAACAACAACAACAAAAACAACAAGAACAACAACAACAAGAACAACAAGAACAACAACAACAACAACAACAACAACAACAACAACAACAACAACAACAACAAUGACGACGACGACAACGACAACGACAAUGAUGACGACAACAACAACAACAACAACCACAACAUCAAAAAUAACCACAACAACAACAACAACAGCA